RNAcentral lists this ribosomal RNA (852 nucleotides) under Triticum aestivum (bread wheat). RNAcentral's name for it is "partial small subunit ribosomal RNA". The record is from RNAcentral. Lineage: Eukaryota; Viridiplantae; Streptophyta; Magnoliopsida; Poales; Poaceae.
AUGGACGGAUGGAUGGACCCCGCCACGGAGGCGUUACCCUCAGCGGCGAUCGAGCUGAACAUCGACCUUACCUCGCACGAGAGCCAUGUUGUUAAACUGCCGAAUUCUUCUCCGGCCACGGACUCCGAACCGCCUGCACCCGUUCCUAUCGAAUCUGAUUGGGCGCCGAUCAUGGAGUUUACCUCCGCGGAUAUCUUUCAACACUCGCCCUUCGGCCAUAUACUGAACUCAUUAAAGUCUCUCUCCUUGUCAGGAGAGUCCUGGCCGAACUAUGUCCGGCAGGACUGGGAUGCAGACGACGAAGAAUUUCGCCGCCCACCCACCACCCACUUAGUAGCCACUGUCGAUGACUUAACCGACAUGCUCGACUUCGACUUCGACGACAUCGACGGUAUGGACGACGAUGCGGGAGACGAAGAGGAACCACUGCCCACAGGGCACUGGACAGCCACCUCAUCAUACGAUAUAUACAUGGUGGAUACACCCAAACAAGGCAAUGGCAACGAGACAGUGGAGGAUGACCCCUCCAAGAAGCAACCCAAGUGCCGACGUCAGCGGCGCCGCUCUAAGUCCUGCCAAAGCAAAAGUGGUGAUACCGGCACAGAUAACACUCCGGAUAGUGCCGAAGACAACAACAACCCCCUCCAGCAAGAUUUAGAGCAGGAGGAUGGAGGAGUCAGCCCUCCUGAGAGAGCGGCAGACGGAGAGGCGGAGGAUGAUAAUUACAUGCCCCCCUCCAAAGACGAGGCAAGCCUCGGCGAUGACGAAUUCGCCGUGCCACAGGAUCCCAUCGAACAAGAGCGCUUCAAGCGUGGGCUUAUGGCCACGGCAAAUAGCCUUAAGAAAAAGUAG